UCAAAUGAUGUGUUCAAUAAAAAACUUUU
RNAcentral lists this non-coding RNA (29 nucleotides) under Rattus norvegicus (Norway rat). Lineage: Eukaryota; Metazoa; Chordata; Mammalia; Rodentia; Muridae. The record is from RNAcentral.